RNAcentral lists this ribosomal RNA (799 nucleotides) under Guaranita cf. yaculica MACN271. RNAcentral's name for it is "partial 28S ribosomal RNA". The record is from RNAcentral. Lineage: Eukaryota; Metazoa; Arthropoda; Arachnida; Araneae; Pholcidae.
UGAGGGAAAGUUGCAAAGAACUUUGAAGAGAGAGUUCAAGAGUACGUGAAACUGCUCAGAGGUAAACGGGUGGGCCCUCGAAAUCCUCUCGCUGGGGGAUUCAGUCUGGGAGUGCGGAGGCGGUGUCGGAAUCUGACCCACAAAAGGCAGUUGCGGCAUCGCGGUCUCUGCGCCUCCAGACGCACUUCCUCCGGCGCUACGGACGCCGCAGCCGAUCGGGUAGCUGCGAGAGUCGGCCGUGAGGUCGGACGCCGGCAGGUGGCAGGAGAGUUCGCUCUYGUUGGCUCCCCUGUUGUUAGCCAGUCCGACCGUGGCGCGACACCCGAUCGUGGUGAAGGUUCCCUUCUCGGGAACUGGCCGUCCCCUAUCCAGCGUGCACGGCGGCAGGCGUGUUCUUGCGCCGUCGAGUCACUCCCCGUAGUGGCCGACGCGUCGGAGCCGUCGUUGGCUGUCGCUGUCUCGCAGGGGGCAUGCGGCUGGCGGCGAGUAGGUCGGUCACCCACCCGACCCGUCUUGAAACACGGACCAAGGAGUCUAACAUGUGCGCGAGUCACCGGGUCUUGAAUAGGCCCGCGGGCGCAAUGAAAGUGAAGGCUGUUUCCGACAGCCGUGUUGGGACUCUGGCGAAUAGCUGGAAGCACCAACGACCCGUCCCUUCGGGCACUGCUCGUGGGGCGGAGUCCGAGCGUACACGUUGGGACCCGAAAGAUGGUGAACUAUGCCUGGGCAGGACGAAGCCAGAGGAAACUCUGGUGGAGGUCCGCAGCGGUUCUGACGUGCAAUCGAUCGUCAGACCGGG